AAUGGGCGCAAGCCUGACGGAGCAAUACCGCGUGAGGGAGGAAGGCUUUUGGGUCGUAAACCUCUUUUAUUGGGGAAGAAGCACUGACGGUACCCAAUGAAUCAGCAUCGGCUAACUCCGUGCCAGCAGCCGCGGUAAUACGGAGGAUGCAAGCGUUAUCCGGAAUUAUUGGGCGUAAAGCGUCCGCAGGUGGUUAAUCAAGUCUGCUGUUAAAGCGUGCGGCUUAACCGCAUAUCGGCAGUGGAAACUGGUUGACUAGAGUUCGGUAGGGGUCACGGGAAUUCCCAGUGUAGCGGUGAAAUGCGUAGAUAUUGGGAAGAACACCAGCGGCGAAAGCGCGUGACUGGGCCUGAACUGACACUGAGGGACGAAAGCUAGGGGAGCG
Molecule: ribosomal RNA, 385 nt
Filed under: uncultured cyanobacterium
Lineage: Bacteria; Bacillati; Cyanobacteriota
Description: bacterial SSU rRNA
Rfam family: Bacterial small subunit ribosomal RNA
Source: RNAcentral